RNAcentral lists this ribosomal RNA (545 nucleotides) under uncultured bacterium. RNAcentral describes it as "bacterial SSU rRNA". It matches the Rfam family "Bacterial small subunit ribosomal RNA", at positions 315 to 873 of the family's 1533-position model. The record is from RNAcentral.
GGUACUUAAACACGGACCAGACUCCUACGGGAGGCAGCAGUUAGGAAUUUUGCGCAAUGGGGGAAACCCUGACGCAGCAACGCCGCGUGAGUGAAGAAGGCCUUCGGGUUGUAAAACUCUUUAGAUGGGGACGAAAAAAAUGACGGUACCCAUAGAAUAAGCACCGGCUAACCCUGUGCCAGCAGCCGCGGUAAUACAGGGGGUGCAAACGUUACUCGGAAUCAUUGGGCGUAAAGAGCGCGUAGGCGGUUUGAUAAGUCAAGUGUGAAAUCCCUGGGCUCAAUCCAGGAAGUGCAUUUGAUACUGUCAGGCUAGAGUAUAGGAGGGGAGAACGGAAUUCCUGGUGUAGAGGUGAAAUUCAUAGAUAUCAGGAGGAACAACAGUGGCGAAGGCGGUUCUCUGGACUAUUACUGACGCUGAGGCGCGAAAGCGUGGGGAGCAAACAGGAUUAGAUACCCUGGUAGUCCACGCUGUAAACGAUGGGUACUAGAUGUCGGAAGUUCUUACCCUUCCGGUGUCGCAGCUAACGCAUUAAGUACCCCGCC